RNAcentral lists this ribosomal RNA (266 nucleotides) under uncultured bacterium. RNAcentral describes it as "partial 16S ribosomal RNA". It matches the Rfam family "Bacterial small subunit ribosomal RNA", at positions 92 to 349 of the family's 1533-position model. The record is from RNAcentral.
CGAGUGGCGAACGGGUGAGUAACGCGUGAGGAACCUGCCUCAAAGAGGGGGACAACAGUUGGAAACGACUGCUAAUACCGCAUAAGCCCACGGGUCGGCAUCGACCAGAGGGAAAAGGAGCAAUCCGCUUUGAGAUGGCCUCGCGUCCGAUUAGCUAGUUGGUGAGGUAAUGGCCCACCAAGGCAACGAUCGGUAGCCGGACUGAGAGGUUGAACGGCCACAUUGGGACUGAGACACGGCCCAGACUCCUACGGGAGGCCAGCAUG